GUUUAUCUAAAUUUACAUCUCAAUGGAGUCGUACGUGAAAAGGUAAAAAUAUUGCUUUGUGUGUGAAUCUCUACCUACAUUUUCGUUGAAACAAAGUGUGAUAAAAUCUAUUCAAGAAGUUCAACAUGAUUAAUUUACUGGCAGCAAACACAAUACACUGCUCGCAGAACAGAACAUUCAAAUGUUGACGUCGCUGUGUAAUGUCAAUCAAAAAAUUGUCAUGGCUUAAAUUUUGUGUGAAAAUUUGUGAUUUAUAGAAACCCGAUGAAAUUAUGUGUGCUUUUACUUUAGCUGUAAGUUUGAAUAGCCACAUAGCUGAGGCGUGAGUUGGUCGCCUCAAGUUACUUUGAGGCACACACGUCGCCAACUGCUUGGCAUAGUGUGUUACCGUGUACUGGUCGAGGGACUACGUGUCUGUGGCGUACCUCAACGAGCUACGUCUCUCCUUACCUGAAGCCCCUCGACACAUUGCUCUAGACAUCCAGGAGCAGGCAUCACAGCACCGCUGUUAAACAAACCGCUACACAUAAAAAUACGGAGGCAGGACUUGUGAAAAAUGAUUUGCCUCUCUUUGUACGCCCUGAUCGCUUCAGCCACGAUCCUUGCGUGCGUUCCAGUCUGCUACCGACAGUUUGAGAUGCACAAGUUCGUCAAGUGUCUUCGUUCUAAAUAAGAAAUAUGUUAAUUUGCAUGAGUUGCAUGACGGCGCUCAUUGCGGUUGGUUGUAUCACUUGUGGUCCCAUCAUUUUGGACGCGUAUUGGCCUAAAUGUACCAGUGGCAACCCCACACCGCCGCCAUGCAAGAGCCCCUGCUGCCCUAAACGAUCUCACGUUAGCUGAGAAAUUGUUUUGUGUUUUGUUUACUUAAUUAAGUUGUAUUAAAUUAUAUUUUUUAUCAUCUA
Long non-coding RNA from Spodoptera frugiperda (fall armyworm), 902 nucleotides. RefSeq lists it as uncharacterized. The record is from RefSeq and is a predicted model, not a curated record. Lineage: Eukaryota; Metazoa; Arthropoda; Insecta; Lepidoptera; Noctuidae. The transcript is spliced from 2 exons.